Molecule: ribosomal RNA, 482 nt
Filed under: uncultured bacterium
Lineage: Bacteria
Description: bacterial SSU rRNA
Rfam family: Bacterial small subunit ribosomal RNA
Source: RNAcentral
UUGAACGCUGGCGGCAUGCCUUACACAUGCAAGUCGAACGGUAACAGGUCUUCGGAUGCUGACGAGUGGCGAACGGGUGAGUAAUACAUCGGAACGUGCCCAAUCGUGGGGGAUAGCUCGGCGAAAGCCGGAUUAAUACCGCAUACGAUCUACGGAUGAAAGCAGGGGACUCGCAAGGGCCUUGCGCGAAUGGAGCGGCCGAUGGCAGAUUAGGUAGUUGGUGGGGUAAAGGCUCACCAAGCCGACGAUCUGUAGCUGGUCUGAGAGGACGACCAGCCACACUGGGACUGAGACACGGCCCAGACUCCUACGGGAGGCAGCAGUGGGGAAUUUUGGACAAUGGGCGCAAGCCUGAUCCAGCAAUGCCGCGUGCAGGAUGAAGGCCUUCGGGUUGUAAACUGCUUUUGUACGGAACGAAAAAGCUCUGGUUAAUACCUGGGGCCCAUGACGGUACCGUAAGAAUAAGCACCGGCUAACUACGU